Molecule: ribosomal RNA, 253 nt
Filed under: uncultured bacterium
Lineage: Bacteria
Description: partial 16S ribosomal RNA
Rfam family: Bacterial small subunit ribosomal RNA
Source: RNAcentral
UACGUAGGGGGCGAGCGCUGUCCGGAAUGACUGGGCGUAAAGGGAGUGUAGGCGGCUGUGCAAGUUAGAUGUGAAAUCCCAUGGCUUAACCAUGGAACUGCAUCUAAAACUGCAUAGCUGGAGUGCAGGAGAGGUGAGUGGAAUUCCUAGUGUAGCGGUGGAAUGCGUAGAUAUUAGGAGGAACACCAGAGGCGAAGGCGACUCACUGGACUGUAACUGACGCUGAGGCUCGAAAGCGUGGGGAGCAAACAGG